CCCUGAGUGGCACAAAUGGGUAAGCGCUUGGCUAUUAACCAAAAAGCUGGCAGUUCAAAUCCGCCCUGAGGCA
RNAcentral lists this transfer RNA (73 nucleotides) under Loxodonta africana (African savanna elephant). It matches the Rfam family "tRNA". Rfam says of the family: Transfer RNA (tRNA) molecules are approximately 80 nucleotides in length. Their secondary structure includes four short double-helical elements and three loops (D, anti-codon, and T loops). Lineage: Eukaryota; Metazoa; Chordata; Mammalia; Proboscidea; Elephantidae. The record is from Rfam by way of RNAcentral.